This 497-nucleotide ribosomal RNA is filed under the name uncultured bacterium. Its description in RNAcentral is "partial 16S ribosomal RNA". It matches the Rfam family "Bacterial small subunit ribosomal RNA", at positions 28 to 507 of the family's 1533-position model. The record is from RNAcentral.
GAUGAACGCUGGCGGCGUGCCUAAUACAUGCAAGUCGAGCGAACGGACGAGAAGCUUGCUUUUCUGAUGUUAGCGGCGGACGGGUGAGUAACACGUGGAUAACCUACCUAUAAGACUGGGAUAACUUCGGGAAACCGGAGCUAAUACCGGAUAAUAUUUUGAACCGCAUGGUUCAAAAGUGAAAGACGGUCUUGCUGUCACUUAUAGAUGGAUCCGCGCUGCAUUAGCUAGUUGGUAAGGUAACGGCUUACCAAGGCAACGAUGCAUAGCCGACCUGAGAGGGUGAUCGGACACACUGGAACUGAGACACGGGCCAGACUCCUACGGGAGGCAGCAGUAGGGAAUCUUCCGCAAUGGGCGAAAGCCUGACGGAGCAACGCCGCGUGAGUGAUGAAGGUAUUCGGAUCGUAAAACUCUGUUAUUAGGGAAGAACAUAUGUGUAAGUAACUGUGCACAUCUUGACGGUACCUAAUCAGAAAGCCACGGCUAACUACGUG